UACGUAGGGUGCAGGCGUUAAUCGGAAUUACUGGGCGUAAAGCGUACGCAGGCGGUUUGCUAAGACAGGUGUGAAAUCCCCGGGCUUAACCUGGGAACUGCGCUUGUUACUGGCAAGCUAGAGUGUGGCAGAGGGGGGUAGAAUUCCAGGUGUAGCAGUGAAAUGCGUAGAUAUCUGGAGGAAUACCGAUGGCGAAGGCAGCCCCCUGGGUUAACACUGACGCUCAUGUACGAAAGCCAGGGGAGCAAACGGG
This 253-nucleotide ribosomal RNA is filed under the name uncultured bacterium. Its description in RNAcentral is "partial 16S ribosomal RNA". It matches the Rfam family "Bacterial small subunit ribosomal RNA", at positions 524 to 776 of the family's 1533-position model. The record is from RNAcentral.